GCACCGCUAGCUCAACUGGCAGAGCAGCUGACUCUUAAUCAGCGGGUUCAGGGUUCAAGUCCCUGGCGGUGUACCA
This 76-nucleotide transfer RNA is filed under the name Cellulomonas sp. RNAcentral describes it as "tRNA-Lys". It matches the Rfam family "tRNA". Rfam says of the family: Transfer RNA (tRNA) molecules are approximately 80 nucleotides in length. Their secondary structure includes four short double-helical elements and three loops (D, anti-codon, and T loops). The record is from RNAcentral. RNAcentral also lists the same sequence under 19 other names. Lineage: Bacteria; Bacillati; Actinomycetota; Actinomycetes; Micrococcales; Cellulomonadaceae.